RNAcentral lists this non-coding RNA (27 nucleotides) under Homo sapiens (human). Lineage: Eukaryota; Metazoa; Chordata; Mammalia; Primates; Hominidae. The record is from RNAcentral.
UAAAGAAGCUGCAACACCUCUUAGGCC